GAUGAAGAACGUAGCGAAAUGCGAUAAGUAAUGUGAAUUGCAGAAUUCAGUGAAUCAUCGAAUCUUUGAACGCACAUUGCGCCCGCCAGUAUUCUGGCGGGCAUGCCUGUUCGAGCGUCAUUUCAACCAUCAAGCCCCCGGCUUGUGUUGGGGACCUGCGGCUGCCGCAGGCCCUGAAAAGCAGUGGCGGGCUCGCUGUCACACCGAGCGUAGUAGCAUACAUCUCGCUCUGGGCGUGCUGCGGGUUCCGGCCGUUAAACCACCUUCAUAACCCAAGGUUGACCUCGGAUCAGGUAGGAAGACACGCUGAACUUAAGCAUAUCAAUAAGCGGAGGA
Molecule: unclassified non-coding RNA, 336 nt
Filed under: soil metagenome
Description: partial contains 5.8S ribosomal RNA, internal transcribed spacer 2, and large subunit ribosomal RNA
Rfam family: 5.8S ribosomal RNA (bases 1-120)
Source: RNAcentral